This 72-nucleotide transfer RNA is filed under the name Camelus bactrianus (Bactrian camel). It matches the Rfam family "tRNA". Rfam says of the family: Transfer RNA (tRNA) molecules are approximately 80 nucleotides in length. The record is from Rfam by way of RNAcentral. Lineage: Eukaryota; Metazoa; Chordata; Mammalia; Artiodactyla; Camelidae. RNAcentral also lists the same sequence under 2 other names.
AAGGGUACAGCUCAGUGGUAUAGCUCAUGCUUAGCAAGCACAAGGCCCUGGGUUCAAUCCCUAGUACCUCUG